AGGUCAGUAGUUCCAAUGGUAGAACGGCGGUCUCCAAAACCGCAUGUUGAGGGUUCGAAUCCUUCCUGGCCUG
RNAcentral lists this transfer RNA (73 nucleotides) under Spirochaetaceae bacterium. RNAcentral's name for it is "tRNA-Trp". It matches the Rfam family "tRNA". From Rfam's summary of the family: Transfer RNA (tRNA) molecules are approximately 80 nucleotides in length. The record is from RNAcentral. Lineage: Bacteria; Pseudomonadati; Spirochaetota; Spirochaetia; Spirochaetales; Spirochaetaceae.